Lycium ferocissimum is the source of this 854-nucleotide long non-coding RNA. RefSeq lists it as uncharacterized. NCBI's taxonomy places the organism in Eukaryota, Viridiplantae, Streptophyta, Magnoliopsida, Solanales, Solanaceae. The record is from RefSeq and is a predicted model, not a curated record. The transcript is spliced from 2 exons.
UGAAAAAGAAAAUAAAAAAAGGAGAACCAAUACCAUAUUGCCACAUGGAAAAUUUCAUCCCUGCCCAUAUGGCAUAUUCCAUUUUAUGAAAUAAGAAUAUCCUAGUAUUAGAAGGACCUUUCAGAAAAAAUAACAAAAAUUAGACACUCUAUAAAAAGGAAACUAUACCUAAUUUUCUAACCUAGACUACACAUCAUUAUCCACCUAAUAGACCUAGACACACAAUGAUAAUCAGUCGCAAUACAGAUGUUAUAUCCCGUAAAAUAAGAAGAAGAGAUCAACGAUUAGAGGGGAAGAACUAAGAACAGCAGCGACAGACUGUUUCUUCUUAUUUAGGUGACAAUUUUUGUUUAUUUUCCCGAAAACUUCACUAACACCACCUUUUCUCUACCCAAAUUCUAACUCAAAACAAACCUGCCAAUAAACACAAUAAAAUGAUCAAAACAACAGUGUCAAAAGUGGGUCGAGGUUCCGCUGGUCGUGAAGCUCCGAUUCUGGUUCACUGAAGCAAAGUAACGAACUAUUUUGAGGUCCGUUUUAGAUUGGAUCAUGGUGACGUCUUGGCUUGGAUCAUGGUGAUGUCUAAAUGGGUUUAUGAUACCUUCAUAGAUCUUUAUCUAAUAUUCUCAAGAUAAAAUGUUUUGUUGGGUUUUUACGUUGGAUUGGAUUAUGGAGGAUUAUAAUAUGUUUUGAGUUUAAUGUUUGGGUGUAAUAAUUAUUGGAUCUUUGCUUGGAUAGAUAUACAAAUUCACUAUUUUUAAAUACUAGUUAAUGGCUUGCCGAUUAAUAUGUAAUUGUAAAUUCAAUCCUCUUUUAAAAGAAAGCUUCAGUUGAAUGAAUAUUUUAGAAAUUAA